This 567-nucleotide long non-coding RNA is filed under the name Ornithorhynchus anatinus (platypus). RNAcentral describes it as "lncRNA (ENSOANG00000050962.1)". Lineage: Eukaryota; Metazoa; Chordata; Mammalia; Monotremata; Ornithorhynchidae. The record is from RNAcentral.
UGUUAUAAAUUUGACUGAUAUUCUGAUGAAAAGAGAGGACUUAUAAUUAGAUUUCCUUACAGUUUACUGCAUUGAUAAUCAACUGAUUUUAUUUUGACUGGGUGUCAGCUAAACUUUUUAUUCAGCUGCAGUUCCCUGAGUAAAGAAGAUAUCCAUGAUUUAAUUGGAACAAUCCAGUCUUGAUGAAUGGCCUGAUGGUCUUAAUCAGAUUUGCAGCAGAAUCGAAAGAGGGAGAAGGCAGGUUUGUGGCUGACUUCACCGAUAAUACUCUACACACUGUGGCUGGCUACUCGGCAGUCAGAGCAAUAUUGAGGACUAUAAAGGAAUUUGAAAAUCAUCUUGCCUCAACCCUACCGGAAUACAGUGAGGGUGAGGCUGUGAUUGGAUUGGCAUUGCAGUCCGGGUCUCCUAUCCCAGUUGGUUGUUGCUGCAGUGACCCCAGUCAUCAUAAGGCGAAGUAACUUGAAGCAGCUCUGGUCCUGUAAUUCAGAAUGCCGCAAUAGGCCAGAAAACCCUAGAAAUCCCAUCCAAAUAAAGCUCAAGGGAGUACAAAGAGGUAUUUUUUCU